Molecule: ribosomal RNA, 440 nt
Filed under: uncultured bacterium
Lineage: Bacteria
Description: bacterial SSU rRNA
Rfam family: Bacterial small subunit ribosomal RNA
Source: RNAcentral
CCUACGGGAGGCAGCAGUGGGGAAUAUUGCACAAUGGGCGAAAGCCUGAUGCAGCCAUGCCGCGUGUGUGAAGAAGGCUCUAGGGUUGUAAAGCACUUUCAGUGGGGAGGAAAAGCUUAAAGCUAAUACCUUUGAGCCUUGACGUUACCUGCAGAAGAAGCACCGGCAAACUCCGUGCCAGCAGCCGCGGUAAUACGGAGGGUGCGAGCGUUAAUCGGAAUUACUGGGCGUAAAGCGCGCGUAGGUGGUUUGAUAAGCUAGCUGUGAAAGCCCCGGGCUCAACCUGGGAACUGCAGUUAGAACUGUCUGACUAGAGUAUAGUAGAGGGUGGCGGAAUUUCCUGUGUAGCGGUGAAAUGCGUAGAUAUAGGAAGGAACAUCAGUGGCGAAGGCGGCCACCUGGACUAAUACUGACACUGAGGUGCGAAAGCGUGGGGAGCA